CCUACGGGUGGCUGCAGUGAGGAAUAUUGGUCAUUGGGCGCGAGCCUGACCCAGCCAAGUCGCGUGAGGGAAGACGGCCCUAUGGAUUGUAAACGUCUUUUGUCGGGGAGCAAAAGAUGCCACGCGUGGCGUUCCGAGAGUACCCGACGAAAAAGCAUCGGAAAACUCCGUGCCAGCAGCCGCGGUAAUACGGAGGAUGACAGCGUUAUCAGGAUUUAUUGGGGGAAAAGGGUGAGCAGGAGGAAGAUCAAGUCGGCGGGAAAAUUGAGAGGCUUAACCACUUCGAGCCGUUGAAACUGGUUUUCUUGAGUGAGCGAGAGGUAUGCGGAAUGCGUGGUGUAGCGGUGAAAUGCAUAGAUAUCACGCAGAACUCCAAUGGCGAAGGCAGCAUACCGGCGCUCAACUGACGCUCAUGCACGAAAGUGUGGGUAUCGAACAGGAUUAGAUACCCCUGUAGUC
Molecule: ribosomal RNA, 459 nt
Filed under: uncultured bacterium
Lineage: Bacteria
Description: partial 16S ribosomal RNA
Rfam family: Bacterial small subunit ribosomal RNA
Source: RNAcentral